GUUGAUAUGACCCCUUUUUUCGUCCUCUACAAAAAUGGCACCAUCAAUCGACUCCGUCCAGCAGACAAUGCUCCGCUUUCGAACGAUCCACAAGCUCCUGUCCGAUCCAAAGAUGUCGUAGUUCACCCGGAAACAGGGGUUUCCGUACGUAUGUUUCUUCCCAAAAUUACCGACCCCAAACAGAAAAUCCCCGUCGUAAUUUACAUUCACGGUGGGGCUUUCUGUAUGGGAUCAGCUCGUUCCUCCACAUUCCAUAAUUUCAUCAGCUCUGUAGUCGAAAAGGCCAAUUGCAUCGCUGUUUCAGUCGAAUAUAGACUUGCCCCGGAAAACCCUUUUGAUACUACCUACGAUGAUU
Molecule: unclassified non-coding RNA, 355 nt
Filed under: Hevea brasiliensis (rubber tree)
Lineage: Eukaryota; Viridiplantae; Streptophyta; Magnoliopsida; Malpighiales; Euphorbiaceae
Source: RNAcentral